This 440-nucleotide ribosomal RNA is filed under the name uncultured bacterium. RNAcentral describes it as "partial 16S ribosomal RNA". It matches the Rfam family "Bacterial small subunit ribosomal RNA", at positions 338 to 795 of the family's 1533-position model. The record is from RNAcentral.
CCUACGGGAGGCUGCAGUAGGGAAUAUUGCUCAAUGGGGGAAACCCUGAAGCAGCAACGCCGCGUGGAGGAUGAAGGUUUUCGGAUUGUAAACUCCUUUUGAUAGAGAAGAUAAUGACGGUAUCUAACGAAUAAGCACCGGCUAACACCGUGCCAGUAGCCGCGGUAAUACGGAGGGUGCAAGCGUUACUCGGAAUGACUGGGCGUAAAGAGGGCGUGGGCGGGAUAGCAAGUCUGAUGUGAAAUCGUAUGGCUUAACCAUAGAACUGCGUUUGAAACUGUGAUGCUAGAGUAUGGGAGAGGUAGGUGGAAGUCUUGGUGUAGGGGUAAAAUCCGUAGAGAUCAAGAGGAAUACUCAUUGCGAAGGCGGCCUGCUAGAACAUAACUGACGCUGAUGCGCGAAAGCGUGGGGAGCAAACAGGAUUAGAUACCCGUGUAGUC